UACGUAGGGGGCGAGCGUUGUCCGAAUUCACUGGGCGUAAAGCGCGCGUAGGCGGACUAUUAAGUUGAUGGUGAAAUCCCGGGGCUCAACCUCGGAACUGCCUUCAAAACUGUUAGUCUUGAGGUUUGGAGAGGGAAUUGGAAUUCCAGGUGUAGCGGUGAAAUGCGUAGAUAUCUGGAGGAACACCCAUGGCGAAGGCAGAUUCCUGGCCAUAUCCUGACGCUGAGGUGCGAAAGCUAGGGUAGCGAACGGGAUUAGAUACCCCGGUAGUCCUAGCCGUAAACGAUGGAUACUAGGUGUUAGAGGUAUCGACCCCUCUAGUGCCGAAGCUAACGCAUUAAGUAUCCCGCCUGGGGAGUACGACCGCAAGGUUG
This 374-nucleotide ribosomal RNA is filed under the name uncultured prokaryote. RNAcentral describes it as "bacterial SSU rRNA". It matches the Rfam family "Bacterial small subunit ribosomal RNA", at positions 524 to 896 of the family's 1533-position model. The record is from RNAcentral.